GAAACCAACAGGGAUUGCCCUAGUAACGGCGAGUGAAGCGGCAACAGCUCAAAUUUGAAAUCUGGCUUUCGGGUCCGAAUUGUAAUUUGCAGAGGAUGCUUUUGGCGAGGUGCCUUCCGAGUUCCCUGGAACGGGACGCCUUAGAGGGUGAGAGCCCCGUACGGUUGGACACUAAGCCUCUGUAAAGCUCCUUCGACGAGUCGAGUAGUUUGGGAAUGCUGCUCUAAAUGGGAGGUAAAUUUCUUCUAAAGCUAAAUACCGGCCAGAGACCGAUAGCGCACAAGUAGAGUGAUCGAAAGAUGAAAAGCACUUUGAAAAGAGGGUUAAAUAGCACGUGAAAUUGUUGAAAGGGAAGCGUUUACGGCCAGACCUUUUCCUAGCGGAUCAUCUGGUGUUCUCACUGGUGCACUUCGCUAGGUUUAGGCCAGCAUCGGCUUCUGUAGAGGGAUAAAAGCAGUGGGAAAGUAGCUCUCUCGGGAGUGUUAUAGCCCUAAGCAUAAUACCUUUACGGGGGCCGAGGACCGCGCUUUUGCAAGGAUGCUGGCGUAAUGGUCGUCAACGACCCGUCUUGAAACACGGACCAAGGAGUCGAACAUUUGUGCGAGUGUUUGGGUGUUAAACCCUCACGCGUAAUGAAAGUGAACGGAGGUGAGAGCCCUUUACGGGGUGCAUCAUCGACCGAUCCUGAUGUCUUCGGAUGGAUUUGAGUAGGAGCAUUAAUGUUCGGACCCGAAAGAUGGUGAACUAUGCGUGGAUAGGGUGAAGCCAGAGGAAACUCUGGUGGAGGCUCGCAGCGGUUCUGACGUGCAAAUCGAUCGUCAAAUCUGCGCAUGGGGGCGAAAGACU
Molecule: ribosomal RNA, 846 nt
Filed under: Biscogniauxia petrensis
Lineage: Eukaryota; Fungi; Ascomycota; Sordariomycetes; Xylariales; Xylariaceae
Description: partial 28S ribosomal RNA
Rfam family: Eukaryotic large subunit ribosomal RNA
Source: RNAcentral